RNAcentral lists this ribosomal RNA (253 nucleotides) under uncultured bacterium. RNAcentral describes it as "partial 16S ribosomal RNA". It matches the Rfam family "Bacterial small subunit ribosomal RNA", at positions 524 to 776 of the family's 1533-position model. The record is from RNAcentral.
UACGUAGGUGGCAAGCGUUACUCGGAAUCACUAGGCGUAAAGCGCAUGUAGGCGGUUCGGUAAGUCUGUUGUGAAAGCUCCCGGCUCAACUGGGAGAGGUCAACGGAAACUGCCGGGCUUGAGUGUGGUAGAGGUAGCUGGAAUUCCCGGUGUAGCGGUGAAAUGCGUAGAUAUCAGGAGGAAUACCGAUGGCGAAGGCAGGUCUCUGGGCUGACACUGACGCUCAUGCACGAAAGCGUGGGGAGCAAACAGG